GAUGAACGCUGGCGGCGUGCCUAAUACAUGCAAGUCGAGCGAACGGACGAGAAGCUUGCUGCUCUGAUGUGAGCGGCGGACGGGUGAUUAACACGUGGAUAACCUACCUAUAAGACUGGGAUAACUUCGGGAAACCGUAGCUAACACCGGAUAAUAUUUUGAACCGCAUGGUUCAAAAGUGAAAGACGGUCUUGCUGUCACUUAUAGAUGGAUCCGCGCUGCAUUAGCUAGUUGGUAAGGUAACGGCUUACCAAGGCAACGAUGCAUAGCCGACCUGAGAGGGCGAUCGGCCACACUGGAACUGAGACACGGUCCAGACUCCUACGGGAGGCAGCAGUAGGGAAUUUUCGGCAAUGGGCGCAAGCCUGACCGAGCAACGCCGCGUGAGUGAUGAAGGUCUUCGGAUCGUAAAACUCUGUUAUUAGGGAAGAAAAUAUGUGUAAGUAACUGUGCACAUCUUGACGGUACCUAAUCAGAAAGCCACGGCUAACUACGUG
This 497-nucleotide ribosomal RNA is filed under the name uncultured bacterium. RNAcentral describes it as "partial 16S ribosomal RNA". It matches the Rfam family "Bacterial small subunit ribosomal RNA", at positions 28 to 507 of the family's 1533-position model. The record is from RNAcentral.